Non-coding RNA from Candidatus Daviesbacteria bacterium, 71 nucleotides. Lineage: Bacteria; Candidatus Daviesiibacteriota. The record is from Rfam.
UGCGGGAUGGUGUAAUGGUAGCACAGCAGGCUCUGAACCUGUUAAUCUAGGUCCGACUCCUAGUCCCGCAG